UGAACGCUGGCGGCGUGCCUAAUACAUGCAAGUCGAGCGAACAGACGAGGAGCUUGCUCCUCUGACGUUAGCGGCGGACGGGUGAGUAACACGUGGAUAACCUACCUAUAAGACUGGGAUAACUUCGGGAAACCGGAGCUAAUACCGGAUAAUAUAUUGAACCGCAUGGUUCAAUAGUGAAAGACGGUUUUGCUGUCACUUAUAGAUGGAUCCGCGCCGCAUUAGCUAGUUGGUAAGGUAACGGCUUACCAAGGCGACGAUGCGUAGCCGACCUGAGAGGGUGAUCGGCCACACUGGAACUGAGACACGGUCCAGACUCCUACGGGAGGCAGCAGUAGGGAAUCUUCCGCAAUGGGCGAAAGCCUGACGGAGCAAUGCCGCGUGAGUGAUGAAGGUCUUCGGAUCGUAAAACUCUGUUAUUAGGGAAGAACAAAUGUGUAAGUAACUAUGCACGUCUUGACGGUACCUAAUCAGAAAGCCACGGCUAACUACGUG
This 495-nucleotide ribosomal RNA is filed under the name uncultured bacterium. RNAcentral's name for it is "partial 16S ribosomal RNA". It matches the Rfam family "Bacterial small subunit ribosomal RNA", at positions 30 to 507 of the family's 1533-position model. The record is from RNAcentral.